AUUGAACGCUGGCGGCAGGCCUAACACAUGCAAGUCGAACGAGUGGCGGACGGGUGAGUAAUGUCUGGGAAACUGCCCGAUGGAGGGGGAUAACUACUGGAAACGGUAGCUAAUACCGCAUACCAUCGGAUGUGCCCAGAUGGGAUUAGCUAGUAGGUGGGGUAACGGCUCACCUAGGCUACGCUCCCUAGCUGGUCUGAGAGGAUGACCGGCCACACUGGAACUGGGAAACGCUCCAGAUCCCUACGGGAGGCGGCAGUGGGGAAUAUUGCAAAAUGGGCGAAAGCCUGAUGCAGCAAUGCCGCGUGGAUGAAGAAGGCCUUCGUGUUGUAAAGUACUUUCAGCGGGGAGGCGUUACUCGAAGAAGAAGCACCGGCUAACUCCGUGCCAGCAGCCGCGGUAAUUC
RNAcentral lists this ribosomal RNA (406 nucleotides) under uncultured bacterium. Its description in RNAcentral is "partial 16S ribosomal RNA". It matches the Rfam family "Bacterial small subunit ribosomal RNA", at positions 30 to 526 of the family's 1533-position model. The record is from RNAcentral.